Molecule: long non-coding RNA, 6241 nt
Organism: Meriones unguiculatus (Mongolian gerbil)
Lineage: Eukaryota; Metazoa; Chordata; Mammalia; Rodentia; Muridae
Exons: 2
Source: RefSeq, a predicted model, not a curated record
CCGUAGAAGCUGGAGCACAUGACCUCUGGUCCCUGUUGUCCCCUGGCCAGCAUGCCGGUGCGUCAGUUCAAGGAUGACCACGACAUCAUCUGUGGCACCAUCAUUUGUUCCUGCUGCCGAGAGACCUGGGGCCAUGGGAGGGACUCCAGAAGCGCCAGGUGCUCGGCCCUGCUCGGAGCAGGCUGCAAGGAAUCCAGCUUGCUGACCACCAGCCUUGCCCACAGUCCUUGGCGGGGGUCAGAGUUCUGUCACCUCCCCCCCUUAGAUCAAUAACUUCCAGACUACUGUCAGCAAAUCUCUGACCUGUGACCUGGCCACACAUGGUGACCCCUGAACCUAUUGGUCUUUCCACCAAUCCUUGCCUUGGUUUCUGGGGUGGGUGAGGGGCUGGCCCCUGGCUCUGGCCCAGGCUUCAAGAGGAAGGAGGGUGUGUGGCUAUCUGUCCCUGCACGCCCAGUCUCUUCCCCUUCCUUCAGACAAGGGGCUGAUGCAUAGUCUGACCCUAUAGGCGGAGGCUCUGUGUGCAGGCCCCGUGCAGCUCCAGGGCCCAGGGAGGCCAUGAAUAGAGAUUUGAAAAGCCCUCUGAGGCUGAGGAACUGUGGGAACUCCAGCCUCAGGGUAGCUUCCUGCGUUGUUUCCAACAUCUCCAGUGUCCCCAAAGCUACCUAGUAGUGUCCAACUUCUGUGCCUUGGGCUUGGAUUCUGGGUCUCAGCAUGGUCUGGUUGAAGUGGGGUGUAGAGGGAGGUACCAUACAGUCGCCAUUCGGGCCAGUCCUCAAAGCCCUGGGGAUGGGGAGAUAUUUUCUUGCUAAUCCAGACGGUCCUUCCCAGCACCAAGUCCAACCUGCCAGCCUGAGAUCAAGCGUGGACAUGGACAGAGAAAGGGGCUACUCAACGGCCCCCCUUGUGCUCCCUGGGGUCGUAUGCCCUGUGCCCUAGCUGGUAGGGGCACUGAUGUGUCGGCUCCUGUCCCGCCCUCUCUUCCGGCUCUGCUUGAGAGAUCUUCUCACACUGUGGCUCUGCUGGGAUGCCAGGAACCCACUCUUCUGACCACUCCAAUUGCAACUCCAGAGCUCCGUGGAAGACACCACUGACCUGAGACUGAGGGACGGCAAGACCACGUGACCCUUACCUGGCUCCUCAGAGGAGAUGCCUUCUGUUCUCUGGGGGACUCUGCAAGUCCCACCUAGGACCUCAGCCCCUCUCUGUCUCAGGUCUGAGAUCAUCUGCUACCGGGAGGAACAAGGGCCCAGACUCCAACAGAGAGAAACUUCCCCUCCCAGGAGAGGAAGAGGAGAAGCAGAGGAGGAAGGGCAGAGAAGAGGAACAGGGGAGAGGUGUGAGAAGCUGUCUAUUAACAUGGAAGAUGUGGGAGACACCUCUGGUCGGAGCGAGAUCCACCAUCGGUCCCGAGAUACUGGAAGGCCUGUCCCAGACCUCAGAUCCUUGAACCUUGAGCUGAUGGGGGCAAAGGGCCCAUCUUGGAGAUGGAGGCCCUGGGGGCCUCUGACUCACUUCUUGACAUUCCACCCUGGGGCUGGCUAGACCCUGCUAACUCAAAGAGCCCCGGGCGCCACUGAGCUGUGGACCUGCUGGGGGCCAUUCGGGGAAUUAGCUGGAAAAGGUGGGGCGGGGAGAGCAGGUGAGGGCUUGUGUGGGCUCCUGGGAGCAGCUGGCUUUUCACAGGCCUGAGGGCUCUUCCAGGAGGUCACAGGCAGUGGGCAGUGGGAUUCCCAGCAUCCAGGCUGCCACACCUUCCUGGGAGGUGGGUUGGGCAGGGGGCAGGGUGCGAAGGGCGAGGCAGAGGCAGGUGUGGAGGUGCAUGCCUGACCAUCCUGGAACUCCCUGUGCAGACCAAGCUGUCCUCAAAAUCACAGACAGCCACCUGCAUCUGUCUUGGGAGUGCCUGGGCCGAAGUUGUGCGCCACCCCACCCCGGCACUGGGUUUUUCCUUUCUUUGUCGCCAUGAACCCACUUGGUCUAACUAGUGCUGCCCUCGGCUUGAUCGCAGGCAGUGAGUUCAGGGGUGCGAUGGCUCCUGCCUUUGCUCUUGGUUCCUCACUGCAUGCUGAGUCGCAACCGUGAGCCCUGGCCACUGCUCACUAGGGCCUUCUGUCUGGCAUCCACGGCGGUGGAGAUGGAAGCCACCUGAUAACCUGGGAAAGAAAACGAAAAAGCUGCCGACUUCUGAGAGGCACAAUCCCCACACCCACUCCUUCCUGGUGCGGUGGGGGAUGGGGGAGCUUGGAAAGAAGCACCUCAGAGAACAGUACAGACACCUUCUCUCUGGAGGGUCCCAUGCCUGGUCUGGCACAGGUCAUCCUGCCUACUUUGGCUGUGCCUGGCCCCUGACUCCUCCUGACUAGGUGCAAGUUCCAACCUCCAUCUCUAGCUCUGGCCCUCCCAGAGUCUGGAGAGCCAGCCGACUGGGCAGGAGUCAUACUCCCAGAGAGGACAAGAUGAAACUAGGAAGUGGCCCCCGGUGCCAUGCAAGUGUCCGCCUGCCAUUCCUUCCGGGUGUGGGGGCGGCUGCUCCUGAACAGGGCCUUAGUCACUCUCUGUCAGGAACCCUAUGCAGAGCCUCUGAGAAAUGCCGCAGGCCUCCACAGCUGGACUCCCUGGGGCUGACCCAAAAGCCCACGCUCAAGCUGCCUGCCGGGGACUACUGGCCAGGCUCACUUGUGCCUGUCUCUGCUGCCGUUGGUCCAUGGGGAAGCCAGCCUCUCUCUGCCAGCGCCUGGGCUUUCUCACCCAGAGGUGGGACACAGAGCUUCACCCUGUGGUUUCUUUUCUCAAGGGCUCCCUGGGUUCCCACGGCAUCCAGGAAAAGCCUGACAUCUGGAGCCUCUGGGGACUUCUUACGCUGACAACCUCUGAUGGUACCCUUUGCCGGAUCCUGCCCCAGCAGGACAUCUACCCUCAGUCCCACAUCAAGACCUGCACAGAGCCAGGCUUGAGCUCUCUUUCCCGUACAUUAGGCUUUGAACCUAGGCCCUGUGGAAGGCCUGUGGUGCUUUCAUCACUGCAAUGGCUGCUUUUAUGUCAACUUGACAUAAGCUAGAGCCAUCAGAGAGGAGGGAGGCUUCUUUGAGGAAAUGCCUCUGUGAGAUGGGGCUGUAGGCAUGCCCAAAGGGCAUUUUCUUUCUUGUUGUUUUUUUGUUUUUUGAAACAGGAUUUCCCUGUGCAACAGCCAUGGCUGUCUUGGAACUUGAUUUGUAGACCAGGCUGGCUUCUAACUCACAGAGAUUCGCCUGCCUCUGCUUCCUGAGUGCUGGGAUUAAAGAUGUAUGCCACCACCCCUGGCUCAUAGGGCAUUUUCUUUUCUGUUUCAUUGUUUUCCGAGACAAGGUUUCUCUGUGUAGCCUUGGCUGUCCUGGACUCACUUUGUAGACCAGGCUGGCCUCAAACUCACACAGCUCCACCUGCCUCUGCCUCCCUGAGUGCUGGGAUUAAAGGCAUACACUACCGAAACAUCUGGCAUUUUCUUAAUUAAUGAUUGAUAGUGGAGGGCUCAGCCCAUUUUGGGUGGUGCCAUCCUGGUUCUAUUCCAAAGCAGCCUGAGCAAGCUGGCACAACCUGGUUCUAUUCCAAAGCAGCCUGAGCAAGCCACGAGGAGCAAGCCAGUAAGUAGCAUCCCUCCAUGGCCUCUGUAUCAGCUCCUGCCUCCAGGUUCCAGCCCUUUUUAAGUCCCUGCUUCGCCUUCCUUUGACGAUGAAUGCUGCUGUGCAAGUAUGAGCCAAAUAAGCUCUUUCCUUCCCAGGUUUCUUGGGUCCCGGGGUUUCAGCACAGCAACAGUGACCUCAACUAAGACAAUCACGGAGGUGACGGUAUAGCUUUCCGGUUAUCGGCAGGGUUGGAAGCCUGGCCGGGGGGUUUCUAUGCAAUGUGGGCUAGAAGGGUCCGUGAACCUCAGGUGCUCAGGCAUACAUACAGAGUCCCAGACUCACAACCGAAUGUAGCUGGCUGUACUAUUUUUGCUCUUCUUUAUGGUAUUGCAAAAGGGAUAUGCAUUGAAUAGAAACCAUACUUCAAAUCUAGGACAUGGACCUUUUCUCGGGUGCUUGGUAGGAUUUUCUCUUGUGGUGCCAGGCAGGGGCAGCGGCUGCAGCAGAACACAGUUCCUGGGCAGCCCCGGGAUUACAAAGAGAGAAUUGACAGUCUCUGCUGCUCUGGAUUCUUAAGCUAUGAAGCCUGGUAGGGUGGAAGUACCCAGCGCAUUCUCCGCUUCGUCUGCUUUGUACCGCCAUAACAAAAACGGGCCGAGAUUGGGUGGUUUAUAACUUAAAGACUUUACAAAGUGUAAGCUAAGGCACGGUAGUACACUCCCGUGAUUUGAGCUGUGUGAGGAGGUGGAGCAAGAGGGCUUCAAGUCUGAAGACAGCCUGGGCAGCUGAGGGAGACCUUAUCCCCAAAGUGACUGAGCAAACGUUUCGGUUUGGCCCACAGUUCUGGAGCCUUGGAAAUGCAGAGCACAGGGUUGGCCUCUGCUGGCAUGUGCUGAGGGCUUUCCUGGUUCACCGUAAAGUGAUAACAAGCCUGCAGGCUCUGGGCUUAUGAGACCACUGACGACAUUGCGGGGACUUUAUCCGUAUUAGGGUUCUCAUGUAACCCCAAUAACACCCCGAAGCCUCCUCACCCUCAAUACCAGUCACGUAGGUAUUAGGUUCCUGAUAUAAGUAUUAGGUUUUCAACUUUUAAUAGGUUCACCAGGCUGGGCAUGGAGGCUCACAUCUUUAAUCCCUACACUCAGGAAGUAAGGCAAAGGGAUCUCUGUGAGUUUGUUGCCACCCUGGUCUACAUGGCGAGUUCCAGGAUGCAGUGGCGUCACCGUCAUCAUAAUCAUCAAGAUGCGACUGCAUUUUAUCUUAUUGUCACCGUUAUUCUAUCCAGCCCAUGUUGUUCUUCCCUGUCUACAGCCGUGGCUGGAAGAGGGACCCACGUGUAUCAAUGUCCACAUGUGGAGAGAGACACCAAAUGCUAAUCCGGUUUGAAUAUGAAAUGUCUAAUGCAGCUGAUGUGUUUGAACACUGGUGGUGCUGUUUUGGGAGACUAUACACUUGGGGCUGUGACCCAGCUGGCAGAAGGAGGCCACUGGAGGUGAACCUUGAAGGUGAUAUCUGACACCUGGAUGGAAUUCUUUGCCUCUUGAUCCUGCAAGAACAAGCCACGCUGCAAGCUCCUGCCAUCACGGUCAGCCACCAUAACUGCCAUGCCUUCUUUGCCUCCAUAACUGCCAUGCCUUCUUUGCCUCCAUAACUGCCCUGCCUUCUUUGCCACCAUAACUGCCGUGCCUUCUUUGCCUCCAUAACUGCCGUGCCUUCUUUGCCUCGAGGGACUGAAGUCUCAUAGACUGUGAGCCAAGGAAACUCCCUCUUGUCUACAGUGGCUCCUGUUGUGUAUUUAUUUGGUCACAGCAGCAAGGAAAGUAACUAAUACAGGUGCCCUCAGUAAGGGCACCUGAGGAUGUUGACCACUGGGCAGGCUCAGGCCCUGCUCCCUCUCCCAGACGCCCUCACUCCGGGGCGGACCUAGGGAAUAACAGAGUUUAAGAUACUUCAUGGGUUGACAAGUUGCAUUAGACGAAGGGGCCGGGAAGGCAUACGAAAGAGGCAAUAUUUGAAUAGAAUGCAAAGAAAGAUCAGGUGAGAUGUGGGCAAAGAAUGACUGCAAUCAGGAGAUGGAGGGUUAUCCUCUGACCAUGGCUGACCUUUGACCCUACCCGCAUGACACGGUUCUCUUGUUGCUUUAUCUCCUCAGGCACUUGUCUCAGUUGCUUGUUUUUGUUUUUCAAGACAGGGUUUCUCUGUGUCGCCCUGGCUGUUCCUGAACUCGCUCUGUAGACCAGGCUGGCCUCGAACUCAGAAACCUAUCUUCCUCUGCCUCCCAAUUGCUGGGAUUAAAGGCGUGUGCCACCACUGCCCAGCCGGCUUUCAUCACUUUCAAGAUUGAACGCACCACCCUCUGUGAAGCACCUGUCCGCCAGCAGGCCAGCCUGGAUCACUCCUCAUCUGCCUCGCCAGUCUUGACUCGUUCCAAAGACUCAUGUUUUCAUCAAGCCCCUACCCAGGGCACAGCAUUCUUCAUCUUGAUUAUCUGUCUGCAGUUCGGUUCAGGGUGUGAGAUGGUUUUCCUGAACUCUCUGUUUCUUGAUGAUCCACCAACCUGCCGUCCCCUAAUCUUCCGAGAGCAUUGAUGAAGAAAAGCUUUUUCAGGCUAAUAAAGAUAAGCUUUUUUCACCUUU